Molecule: long non-coding RNA, 1296 nt
Organism: Neofelis nebulosa (Clouded leopard)
Lineage: Eukaryota; Metazoa; Chordata; Mammalia; Carnivora; Felidae
Exons: 3
Source: RefSeq, a predicted model, not a curated record
CAAUCAGGGCCUCAUUAAGCUUCGAGGGCAGUGAGGGCGUGAGGUCUCGGGACCAGGUGAACAAACCCCGCGCAGGGGGCCGAGGGUGAGCUGAGCAAGGCAGGCUGGAGGGGGUGGCACCACACCGGACAGCCAACUCCCCCCCCACCCCCCGGCCGGGCACUGCCACCCUUGGGCCACACCUCAGAGCGAGGCUUUCAAACCACAGGCCGCGUCCCCUUGCGGUCCCAGGAAGUCAACGUAGCUGAUGCUCGCCAGCAUUCAAAACAAAAAUGCAAAAACAGCGAACAAGCUAACACCAGUGACUAACGAGAAACAGAACAGGAACGACCAGACUCUCCUGCGUGAUUGGAGGCCCUUAUCUGGGCUGGGAAGAACAGAACAGAUCCUAGCAUGGAGCUCUGUGGAGUAUGUGCUCGAGAAACGGGAAGGGACCGAGCCCUCACGACAAGGUGUGUAGACGGUGGAGCCAGAUGAAACCCAGGCCAUGCGAUUCCUAAGCAUAGCUUCUACCCGUGGAUGUAUUCACAAGACGGAACAACGGAGCAGCACAAGGUAAGAGCAGUCAGAACGUGAUGGCCCUUGAGCGGAGCCGUCCUGCAGACCCUUGCCGGGCAAGGCCGGCUGUAUCACAAGAGGCUAGCACAGUGACCGAGGGAGGGGAACACCACAGUUGCUCAGGGCCCUGUUUACUGAUUAUGUGCUUAUAUACUACCCGGCCCUGCAGUUCUGCCCUCGGGCCCUCAAGCGUCGGCUCAGACGUACUGGUGCAGGUGGGCCGAGAGCAACGUUGUUCCCACCCGGUCUCGUCCCAGGCCGCCUUCCUGCGAGGUCCUGUUUCCGCCUGUCACAUAAAACAUGGACAAUUAUUUCCAGCACAAGCUGACUAAGAGCGAAGGAGAAGCCAGAUUGUCUGCUCCCUCGAGCAUUUGUAGGCAGACAACUUUUAAAUAGAAGCACACACAUGGGGUUCUGACAGCUGCACUGGGACAGUGAGUUCCGGUCUGACGUCCCUCUAGAAAGAGAAACUCAGGCUACUGUCUUGCCUCUUGAAAAGCGGUGGGGGUGGGAUUCGGCUGCUUAGGGGAAAAAAGCUGGUCUCUUCGUCUCAUGUAAAAUCACAAGAUCAUGGUGUAAAUUCAGGGGCGCCUGGGUGGCUCAGUCGGUUGAGCGUCCGACUUUGGCCCAGGUCAUGAUCUCGCGGUGCGUGAGUUCGAGCCCCGCGUGGGGCUCUAUGCUGACGGCUCAGAGCCUGGAACCUGCUUCGGAUUAUGUGUCCCCCUCUCUCUCUGCUCC